This 72-nucleotide transfer RNA is filed under the name Kickxella alabastrina. Its description in RNAcentral is "tRNA-Pro". It matches the Rfam family "tRNA". From Rfam's summary of the family: Transfer RNA (tRNA) molecules are approximately 80 nucleotides in length. Their secondary structure includes four short double-helical elements and three loops (D, anti-codon, and T loops). The record is from RNAcentral. Lineage: Eukaryota; Fungi; Kickxellomycota; Kickxellomycetes; Kickxellales; Kickxellaceae. RNAcentral also lists the same sequence under 2 other names.
GGCUUAGUGGUCUAGCGGUAUGAUUCCUGCUUUGGGUGCAGGAGGUCCCGGGUUCAAUCCCCGGCUGAGCCC